CUUAGAUCCCCCGUUAGUCCACCAGGUCCCCAUCAGGCGUUUGGCAGGUUAGAAAAGAGCCAAAGACCCUUCAACGGCAGGUAUACUGUUUACAAGUGUUCUGACUUUCUUUUCUGCCUCAACACCCUGAGAAAUGAAACACAGGAAGUGGGGCCUAACAUCUAGGGCGGAGCACGGAAGGUGGAGGGUGGUGGGGAGGGAGCAUUAUUUAGUACCAUCCGCUCUAUGGGCGUAAUUUCCCACGCCCUGCAUCCGGUGUCUCUCUUAGACCUUGGCAGAUGGUUGUAACUGAAUGUGGGAGACAGCCGCGGAUGGAGAGGGAUGUGAUCACCCCACAGGGAAGCUGGAGGUGCCGGGAGAGGGCGGCGGUCGCAGGCCUGAGACGCUGUUUGGUCACCUCUGGUCCAGAGCAAAGCCAUAGUGAAAAAGAAACUGCUACCGAGAGAAGAGAAAGAAGAAACUGCCUUCUUGGUCUCAACAGACUGGAUUCUCUUGUGGAACAGUCAGCUAGACUAUCAUUCCAAGGUUUGGAAGUUUCACAAAAAUACAAGCAUUUAUCUCGGAUUUGUUGCCAAGGCAUUGAGCACAUUAAUGGAACUGAUCUCUCUAAAGUAAGAAAGAAGGGGA
RNAcentral lists this long non-coding RNA (627 nucleotides) under Capra hircus (goat). RNAcentral describes it as "lncRNA (ENSCHIG00010003863.1)". The record is from RNAcentral. Lineage: Eukaryota; Metazoa; Chordata; Mammalia; Artiodactyla; Bovidae.